RNAcentral lists this ribosomal RNA (393 nucleotides) under uncultured bacterium. Its description in RNAcentral is "partial 16S ribosomal RNA". It matches the Rfam family "Bacterial small subunit ribosomal RNA", at positions 523 to 918 of the family's 1533-position model. The record is from RNAcentral.
AUACGGAGGAUGCGAGCGUUAUCCGGAUUUAUUGGGUUUAAAGGGAGCGUAGGUGGGAUAUUAAGUCAGCUGUGAAAGUUUGGGGCUCAACCUUAAAAUUGCAGUUGAUACUGGUUUCCUUGAGUACGGUAUAGGUGGGCGGAAUUCGCGGUGUAGCGGUGAAAUGCUUAGAUAUCACGAAGAACAGCGAUCGCGAAGGCAGAUCGCCGGUCCGGAACUGACACUGAUGCACGAAAGUGCGGGUAUCAAACAGGAUUAGAUACCCUGGUAGUCCGCGCAGUAAACGAUGAAUACUCGCUGUUUGCGAUACACUGUAAGCGGCCAAGCGAAAGCGUUAAGUAUUCCACCUGGGGAGUACGCCGGCAACGGUGAAACUCAAAGGAAUUGACGGGG